UACGUAGGGUGCGAGCGUUAAUCGGAAUUACUGGGCGUAAAGCGUGCGCAGGCGGUUUUGUAAGUCUGUCGUGAAAUCCCCGGGCUUAACCUGGGAAUUGCGAUGGAGACUGCAAGGCUAGAAUCUGGCAGAGGGGGGUAGAAUUCCACGUGUAGCAGUGAAAUGCGUAGAGAUGUGGAGGAAUACCGAUGGCGAAGGCAGCCCCCUGGGAUAACACUGACGCUCAUGCACGAAAGCGUGGGGAGCAAACAGG
RNAcentral lists this ribosomal RNA (253 nucleotides) under uncultured bacterium. RNAcentral's name for it is "partial 16S ribosomal RNA". It matches the Rfam family "Bacterial small subunit ribosomal RNA", at positions 524 to 776 of the family's 1533-position model. The record is from RNAcentral.